Molecule: unclassified non-coding RNA, 218 nt
Filed under: Hevea brasiliensis (rubber tree)
Lineage: Eukaryota; Viridiplantae; Streptophyta; Magnoliopsida; Malpighiales; Euphorbiaceae
Source: RNAcentral
UUCAGACAGUUCCUGGCAUUUUUUAGUGUUCAUCAGAUGGCGCUGUCCCUCUUUCGUUUCAUUGCUGCUAUUGGAAGAACACAAGUUGUUGCAAACACACUUGGAACCUUCACCUUGCUUCUGGUUUUUGUGCUUGGAGGAUUCGUUGUUGCCAAAAAUGACAUUGCACCUGUGAUGAUUUGGGGCUAUUAUGUUUCUCCUAUGAUGUAUGGACAGAA